RNAcentral lists this ribosomal RNA (346 nucleotides) under uncultured bacterium. Its description in RNAcentral is "partial 16S ribosomal RNA". It matches the Rfam family "Bacterial small subunit ribosomal RNA", at positions 338 to 681 of the family's 1533-position model. The record is from RNAcentral.
CCUACGGGUGGCAGCAGUGAGGAAUAUUGGUCAAUGGGAGGAAGCCUGAACCAGCCAUGCCGCGUGCAGGACGACGGCUCUACGAGUUGUAAACUGCGUUUGUACGGGGGUAAAAUGCUCUACGAGUAGGGUUUUGAAAGUACGGUACGAAUAAGGAUCGGCUAACGCCGUGCCAGCAGCCGCGGUAAGACGGAGGAACCGAGCGUUAUCCGGGUUUAGUGGGGUUAAAGGGGGCGUAGGUUGUUUUCUAAGUUAGCGGUGAAAUCCCGUUGCUCAACCUCGGGGCUGCCGCUCAUACUGUAGGACUCGAGCUCGUCUGCAGCCGGCGGAAUGUGUCGUGUAGCGG